GACGAACGCUGGCGGCGUGCUUAACACAUGCAAGUCGAACGGAAAGGCCCUGCUUUUGUGGGGUGCUCGAGUGGCGAACGGGUGAGUAACACGUGAGUAACCUGCCCUUGACUUUGGGAUAACUUCAGGAAACUGGGGCUAAUACCGGAUAGGAGCUCCUGCUGCAUGGUGGGGGUUGGAAAGUUUCGGCGGUUGGGGAUGGACUCGCGGCUUAUCAGCUUGUUGGUGGGGUAGUGGCUUACCAAGGCUUUGACGGGUAGCCGGCCUGAGAGGGUGACCGGGCACAAUGGGAAUGAGAUACGGGCCAGACUCCUACCGGAGGCAGGAGGGGGGAAUAUUGCACCAUGGGGGGAAGCCCUAAGCCGCAACCCCGGGGGCGGGAUGACGGCCUUUGGGGUGUAAACCGCCUUCGCCUGUUACGAAGCGUGAGUGACGGUAAUGGGUAAAGAAGCACCGGCUAACUACGUG
This 468-nucleotide ribosomal RNA is filed under the name uncultured bacterium. RNAcentral's name for it is "partial 16S ribosomal RNA". It matches the Rfam family "Bacterial small subunit ribosomal RNA", at positions 28 to 507 of the family's 1533-position model. The record is from RNAcentral.